This is a long non-coding RNA of Triticum aestivum (bread wheat), 703 nucleotides long. RefSeq lists it as uncharacterized. The record is from RefSeq and is a predicted model, not a curated record. The transcript has 3 exons. Lineage: Eukaryota; Viridiplantae; Streptophyta; Magnoliopsida; Poales; Poaceae.
CCCAGGUGCAGCGCAAGGGCAUGGAGGCGGAGGGGUUUGGCAUAGAGGGGAUCUCGACGGGCGGGCACGAGACCUGCGUCACUGCGCCGUCCCCAUUCUGUGGCAGUGGUUGAUUCAGCAACGAUAUGAUCCACAAAUUGUCAAGCACACAUGGUAUAGCCAUCAAGUUCUGGGAUAUUAGCUGGCUUUAAGUUUUCAAGUGCAGGCAGUCUUUUAACAAGGGAUGUAUGUCAGUAGUGAUAUGCCGAAUACCAUGGAUAUAUGUUCACUGCAGAUAAGUUCUUUUCCUGAAACUUACAAGCACAAACUUACUUACUCAACUCAAAUCUUCGCACGGUUAUAAAUACAAUACUUUACUAUAAGCAAUAAUGCUUGAUUUUUUAUCAGUUUUCAACACUAUCCGAUUCUUCGAACCAUUCUCUAAAAAUAAAAAUGAACUCCUUGAGUGCUUUCUUACCAGUGCCUCUGGCCAAGCUUGUUUUUUUCCUAACCUUAUUAUAAUCCAGUAUUUCAUAUGCCAUCUAAUGAUCCAAGGUCUUUAUAGGAAAAACAAUGGCACUUUUAAUGCAAGUUCACUGGACGACUACCAUAUCUUACUAUACUUUUGAUUGCUUGGAUGAAGUUGGAUGGGAGAUCCCCAUCCAGUUUUUAAAAGCCAUGAUUUUGUUUCGUUGGUUGGGUGAACAAGAUAGUAUACCAUUAA